Molecule: transfer RNA, 74 nt
Filed under: Schizaea dichotoma
Lineage: Eukaryota; Viridiplantae; Streptophyta; Polypodiopsida; Schizaeales; Schizaeaceae
Description: tRNA-Trp
Rfam family: tRNA
About the family: Transfer RNA (tRNA) molecules are approximately 80 nucleotides in length. Their secondary structure includes four short double-helical elements and three loops (D, anti-codon, and T loops). Further hydrogen bonds mediate the characteristic L-shaped molecular structure. tRNAs have two regions of fundamental functional importance: the anti-codon, which is responsible for specific mRNA codon recognition, and the 3' end, to which the tRNAs corresponding amino acid is attached (by aminoacyl-tRNA synthetases). tRNAs cope with the degeneracy of the genetic code in two manners: having more than one tRNA (with a specific anti-codon) for a particular amino acid; and 'wobble' base-pairing, i.e. permitting non-standard base-pairing at the 3rd anti-codon position.
Source: RNAcentral
ACGCUCUUAGUUCAGCGUGGUAGAACGCGGGUCUCCAAAACCCGAUGGCGUAGGUUCAAAUCCUACAGGGCGUG